RNAcentral lists this ribosomal RNA (541 nucleotides) under uncultured bacterium. RNAcentral's name for it is "bacterial SSU rRNA". It matches the Rfam family "Bacterial small subunit ribosomal RNA", at positions 777 to 1317 of the family's 1533-position model. The record is from RNAcentral.
AAUAGAUACCCCGGUAGUCCAUGCCGUAAACGAUGUCUACUAGCCGUUGGGGCCUUUGAGGCUUUAGUGGCGCAGCUAACGCGAUAAGUAGACCGCCUGGGGAGUACGGUCGCAAGACUAAAACUCAAAUGAAUUGACGGGGGCCCGCACAAGCGGUGGAGCAUGUGGUUUAAUUCGAUGCAACGCGAAGAACCUUACCUGGUCUUGACAUAGUAAGAACUUUCCAGAGAUGGAUUGGUGCCUUCGGGAACUUACAUACAGGUGCUGCAUGGCUGUCGUCAGCUCGUGUCGUGAGAUGUUGGGUUAAGUCCCGCAACGAGCGCAACCCUUUCCCUUAUUUGCCAGCGGGUUAAGCCGGGAACUUUAAGGAUACUGCCAGUGACAAACUGGAGGAAGGCGGGGACGACGUCAAGUCAUCAUGGCCCUUACGACCAGGGCUACACACGUGCUACAAUGGUCGGUACAAAGGGUUGCUACCUAGCGAUAGGAUGCUAAUCUCAAAAAGCCGAUCGUAGUCCGGAUUGGAGUCUGCAACUCGACU